AACGAACGCUGGCGGCAGGCCUAACACAUGCAAGUCGAGCGAGGACUUCGGUCCUAGCGGCGGACGGGUGAGUAACGCGUGGGAACGUGCCCUUUGCUUCGGAAUAGCCCUGGGAAACUGGGAGUAAUACCGGAUGAGCCCUUUGGGGGAAAGAUUUAUCGGCGAAGGAUCGGCCCGCGUUGGAUUAGGUAGUUGGUGGGGUAAUGGCCUACCAAGCCGACGAUCCAUAGCUGGUUUGAGAGGAUGAUCAGCCACACUGGGACUGAGACACGGCCCAGAAUCCUACGGGAGGCAGCAGUGGGGAAUCUUAGAAAAUGGGGGAAACCCUGAUCUAGCCAUGCCGCGUGAGCGAUGAAGGCCUUAGGGUUGUAAAGCUCUUUCAGCUGGGAAGAUAAUGACGGUACCAGCAGAAGAAGCCCCGGCUAACUCCGUG
Molecule: ribosomal RNA, 433 nt
Filed under: uncultured bacterium
Lineage: Bacteria
Description: partial 16S ribosomal RNA
Rfam family: Bacterial small subunit ribosomal RNA
Source: RNAcentral